This 264-nucleotide ribosomal RNA is filed under the name uncultured bacterium. RNAcentral's name for it is "partial 16S ribosomal RNA". It matches the Rfam family "Bacterial small subunit ribosomal RNA", at positions 793 to 1055 of the family's 1533-position model. The record is from RNAcentral.
GUCCACGCCCUAAACGAUGCACGUUUGGUGUGGGUGAUUCAGUUCAUCCGUGCCGGAGCUAACGCGUUAAACGUGCCGCCUGGGGAGUACAGUCGCAAGGCUGAAACUCAAAGGAAUUGACGGGGGCCCGCACAAGCGGUGGAGCAUGUGGUUCAAUUCGACGCAACGCGAAGAACCUUACCUGGGCUCGAACGGCCGGUCAACGGAGGUGGAAACAUCUUUACCCCGCAAGGGGGUCCGGUCGAGGUGCUGCAUGGCUGUCGU